AUGCUCCUGCUGCUUAUCCCAGCGCUUGAGAUGGUUUUUGCCCUGAGAGGAACGGGAGCCCAGUUGGUGACCCAGCCUGACGGCCGCAUCACUCUCUCUGAAGGAGCCCCUCUGGAGCUGAGGUGCAACUACUCAUCUUCUCUUUCAACCUAUCUCUUCUGGUACGUGCAGUACCCCAACCAAGGGCUCCAGCUUCUCCUGAAGUACACAUCUGGAAACAACCUUGUCUCAGGCAUCAAAGGUUUUGAGGCUGAAUUUAGGAGGAGUGAAACCUCCUUCCACCUGAGGAAACCCUCAGCCCAUUGGAGUGACUCGGCUGAAUACUUCUGUGCUCUGAGUGACACAGUGCCUGAGUCUGCAAGGGGAACUGAACACAAACUUCCUGAGACCUUGGGACUUUUUGUGACUCAAGAACUCAAUCAGUUUAACGAACUAUUCUCCUCUGUCUGCAAGACAAUCCCUGAUCCAGAAUUGGUGUUACAGGAGGAACAAGAGCCCAGACAGUGA
Non-coding RNA from Balaenoptera ricei (Rice's whale), 507 nucleotides. Lineage: Eukaryota; Metazoa; Chordata; Mammalia; Artiodactyla; Balaenopteridae. The record is from the annotation of a RefSeq genome assembly.